AGGGAUCCCCAUCAAUGUUAUACUAUUUGUCUCCAGGUAUAUACUCACUCCAAAUUCUAGAUAUUCUAGCGAGUAGAUGAGGUGAAAGUAUGUGCAACAUAAUUAUUAUUUUUGUUUUGCUCUAAUUUCUGCGAGAGUGUUGUUAAAUCCCAUGUAGCACGAUGGUGGUUGUAUGCUGCCGUGGAGGAAUUAAAGGCACAUGUUGAUUAAAAGAAUGGGUAUAAGUAAGGAGUGGCUGGUGACUAAUAUUGUCGAGUAAUUUCUUGAUCCGCCCAUGAUUAAUUAGUACCCCAAUUUGUUUUCUCAAAAAGGUACAAUAUUGCUAUGGUAAAAGUUACACUUUGUGGCCUCAAAUAGCAUUCAGAUUUAUAGAUUGAUUUCUCUUAGAAAAAAUAUAGAUUUAUUCCUGAUUCUGUGAGCUCACUAAUUAUGAAGCUAACACAAGUCUAAGUACCUAAUACUUACCUCCACCUCAUCGUUGACAUCGUGCAGUACCAUGGCAGAGGUUUCUUUUGUGCAUGGAUUUCCAAGCGCUCUGGCAGUCAUUGGUGGAAGCGUGGGUUUUAGUUGGCCAACAUUCAUCUUUUAGGCGCUGUGUUUAUGUAGAGAAUUUUACUUAACAGGUCUGGAUGGCAUCUUUUGUCAAAACAAAAUCAUGUUUGUUUUUAUAUAUUUUCCGCCUGACGCGUAAAGUGUUCCAUUAUUGUUUUCUUUUGGGGAAAUAAUUAUGCUUUAGGAUGAACUGGUUUAGUUCCUUUUUAUGUUGCUAAAACCCUAUAGCUUGCUUUUAUGUAGAAGUCCCUGGAUGAACUUUCAGAAAUCUUUAUUGUCAGGCCACAUUGGUACUGAGCUUUCUUGCAAAGGUGCUAUGUUCUAACUGUGGUGUAUAUAGUUGUAUAGUUUAUACUGAAAGCUGCGUUCUUGUCAGGCCACAAUAGUUGUAUAGUUUAGAUCAUACCUUGAGUUAGUUUUGUGCUUGUGGAAGGGCAGCGUCGAUUGCAAGACGGCUGGGUUCAGCUUCAUUAAUAUAGCACCAUCUUCACAAUACUGUACAUUAUAUUCUUAGAAUAUUUUUUGCACUCUAAUAGUUUGGCCUUUGAAGUAAAAUACACUUAGUAGUUUUAAAUUUCAAGUGGCAUGGCUUACAAUAUGUAAGUGGGUUUUCCACACUUGUAACAUGAGAGAAUCUGCAUAGAUCUCAAGGUUGUCAUUCGUGGCUGAGACAAUGUUUUUAAAUCAAGGGACCCGCACUUCGUCAUUAUCUAAAUUGCGCUUGAUUAUUUUCCUACAAGGAUCUGCACUUCGUCAUUACCUAAGCGCAUCAGUUAGAAGAGAAGUUAGAGCUGACGGGAGUGGUGCCAACAGUUUCCACAAUAAUCGUCUGACAGAUAAAUAUAUAUCUUCUCAUUUUUCAGAUUUUGUUGUUCAAUUCAGUUAAAUCUACUAGCUUACUGGUUGUGGUAUAACUAUUUCUAGAAUUUACAAUGUGGUUUCCGUGCCUAUUGAUUUAACUUGAUGAGAGAAAAAUGACUUCUUGGGUUCACUGUUCACUCUACAUAGUGGUUGUAACUUUUUUGCUUCUGAAGUGUCAAAGGAUACAAAAAUCAGGAUGAUAUAUUAGGCUGAGACAAUGUUUCUAAAUCAAGAGACCUGCACUUCUUCAUUAUCUAAAUUGCGCUUGAUUAUUUCUGCCCAGCAAUAUCAAGAUGAGGAUACAAGCAUAUCAAGUGUACAAGACGUGUAGUCUCCUCAUGAAGGUGGCUGAGCUAUGAAUUUGCUCUUGGUAUAUUUACCUAUGCUGGAUAUGGGGUCAGAUCUUUGGUAUGCAAGUGAAUGCAUAUGGAACAAUGAUUGCACAUAUUACAGUAAGCUAUAUUCUCUUCACAUUUAUGCAUAUUCUUGUUGGGACAAAAAAAGUGGUUAUAAUAAGCAGAUUCUUGUUGGGACCAAAAAAAGUGGUUAUAAUAGGCAGAUAUAUUUCUUCCCAUUUACACAUAUUCUUGCUGGGAGAGAAAAACAAAGCAGUGAUAAUAUGCAGUUUUACAUAAGCUUAUGUCUUGCAAACUAGCUAGAACCGAAAACUGAUGAUUAUUGCUUGUUUUCUGACUUCUGUUGCAGAAUGUGAAAGCUUAUUACCCACAUAAAACAAGUAGGUGUUAUGAAGUCCUUGUAUGCCUAAUUAUUGUUGUUGUAGUUGUCAUACAUGCGUAACAAUCUGUGACAAACACACGCAUACCCGUGAUCUCUCUCCUACAAAUACCCUUGACUAAUUCCUCAGAAGUAUAUGUAAAAACAGAAACAAAUGCUUCAUGCCCGCUCGCUUGGAAACAAAUGCUUCGAUGGCCAAUGCGCAACUAAUUGCAUGCACACUUACAAAAUAUUUCUAACAACCAAUCAGGACAUUUCACUUACGAGGAUCAGUCAAAAAGUUAGCACGU
This 2438-nucleotide long non-coding RNA is filed under the name Triticum aestivum (bread wheat). Its description in RNAcentral is "long non-coding RNA (TAES_LNC027691)". The record is from RNAcentral. Lineage: Eukaryota; Viridiplantae; Streptophyta; Magnoliopsida; Poales; Poaceae.